GGGUUGUGAGGUUAAGCGACCAAGCGUACACGGUGGAUGCCCUGGCAGUCAGAGGCGAUGAAGGACGUGCUAAUCUGCGAAAAGCGCCGGUAAGGUGAUAUGAACCGUUAUAACCGGCGAUGUCCGAAUGGGGAAACCCAGUGUGACUCGUCACACUAUCAUUAACUGAAUCCAUAGGUUAAUGAGGCGAACCGGGGGAACUGAAACAUCUAAGUACCCCGAGGAAAAGAAAUCAACCGAGAUUCCCCCAGUAGCGGCGAGCGAACGGGGAGGAGCCCAGAGCCUGAAUCAGCAUGUGUGUUAGUGGAAGCGUCUGGAAAGGCGCGCGAUACAGGGUGACAGCCCCGUACACAAAAGCGCAUGUGCUGUGAGCUCGAUGAGUAGGGCGGGACACGUGGUAUCCUGUCUGAAUAUGGGGGGACCAUCCUCCAAGGCUAAAUACUCCUGACUGACCGAUAGUGAACCAGUACCGUGAGGGAAAGGCGAAAAGAACCCCGGCGAGGGGAGUGAAACAGAACCUGAAACCGUGUACGUACAAGCAGUGGGAGCCCCACCACUAAGCCAGUGGUGAACUCCACAUACGCAUCCUUUGCGGAAGAUGCGGUUAACGGAGCGAAAGCGACGUUCAACCUAAAAAGAAGCAGAGGGGGCUUAGUGGUGGGGUGACUGCGUACCUUUUGUAUAAUGGGUCAGCGACUUAUAUUCUGUAGCAAGGUUAACCGUAUAGGGGAGCCGGAGGGAAACCGAGUCUUAAUUGGGCGUUAAGUUGCAGGGUAUAGACCCGAAACCCGGUGAUCUAGCCAUGGGCAGGUUGAAGGUUGGGUAACACUAACUGGAGGACCGAACCGACUAAUGUUGAAAAAUUAGCGGAUGACCUGUGGCUGGGGGUGAAAGGCCAAUCAAACCGGGAGAUAGCUGGUUCUCCCCGAAAGCUAUUUAGGUAGCGCCUCGUGAAUUCAUCUCCGGGGGUAGAGCACUGUUUCGGCCAGGGGGCCAUCCCGGCUUACCAACCCGAUGCAAACUGCGAAUACCGGAGAAUGUUAUCACGGGAGACACACGGCGGGUGCUAACGUCCGUCGUGAAGAGGGAAACAACCCAGACCGCCAGCUAAGGUCCCAAAGUCAUGGUUAAGUGGGAAACGAUGUGGGAAGGCCCAGACAGCCAGGAUGUUGGCUUAGAAGCAGCCAUCAUUUAAAGAAAGCGUAAUAGCUCACUGGUCGAGUCGGCCUGCGCGGAAGAUGUAACGGGGCUAAACCAUGCACCGAAGCUGCGGCAGCGACACUAAGUGUUGUUGGGUAGGGGAGCGUUCUGUAAGCCUGCGAAGGUGGCCUGUGAGGGUUGCUGGAGGUAUCAGAAGUGCGAAUGCUGACAUAAGUAACGAUAAUGCGGGUGAAAAACCCGCACGCCGGAAGACCAAGGGUUCCUGUCCAACGUUAAUCGGGGCAGGGUGAGUCGACCCCUAAGGCGAGGCCGAAAGGCGUAGUCGAUGGGAAACGGGUUAAUAUUCCCGUACCUGGUGUUACUGCGAAGGGGGGACGGAGAAGGCUAUGUUGGCCGGGCGACGGUUGUCCCGGUUUAAGCGUGUAGGCUGGUUUUCCAGGCAAAUCCGGAAAAUCAAGGCUGAGGCGUGACGACGAGGCACUACGGUGCUGAAGCAACAAAUGCCCUGCUUCCAGGAAAAGCCUCUAAGCCUCAGGUAACAUCAGAUCGUACCCGAAACCGACACAGGUGGUCAGGUAGAGAAUACCAAGGCGCUUGAGAGAACCCGGGUGAAGGAACUAGGCAAAAUGGUGCCGUAACUUCGGGAGAAGGCACGCUGACACGUAGGUGAAGCGGUUUACCCGUGAAGCUGAAGUCAGUCGAAGAUACCAGCUGGCUGCAACUGUUUAUUAAAAACACAGCACUGUGCAAACACGAAAGUGGACGUAUACGGUGUGACGCCUGCCCGGUGCCGGAAGGUUAAUUGAUGGGGUCAGCGCAAGCGAAGCUCCUGAUCGAAGCCCCGGUAAACGGCGGCCGUAACUAUAACGGUCCUAAGGUAGCGAAAUUCCUUGUCGGGUAAGUUCCGACCUGCACGAAUGGCGUAAUGAUGGCCAGGCUGUCUCCACCCGGGACUCAGUGAAAUUGAACUCGCUGUGAAGAUGCAGUGUACCCGCGGCAAGACGGAAAGACCCCGUGAACCUUUACUAUAGCUUGACACUGAACACUGGUCCUUGAUGUGCAGGAUAGGUGGGAGGCUUUGAAGUGUGGACGCCAGUCUGCAUGGAGCCGUCCUUGAAAUACCACCCUUUAAUGGCUGGUGUUCUAACGUAGACCCGUGAACCGGGUUGCGGACAGUGUCUGGUGGGUAGUUUGACUGGGGCGGUCUCCUCCUAAAGCGUAACGGAGGAGCACGAAGGUUGGCUAAUCCUGGUCGGACAUCAGGAGGUUAGUGCAAUGGCAUAAGCCAGCUUGACUGCGAGCGUGACGGCGCGAGCAGGUGCGAAAGCAGGUCAUAGUGAUCCGGUGGUUCUGAAUGGAAGGGCCAUCGCUCAACGGAUAAAAGGUACUCCGGGGAUAACAGGCUGAUACCGCCCAAGAGUUCAUAUCGACGGCGGUGUUUGGCACCUCGAUGUCGGCUCAUCACAUCCUGGGGCUGAAGUAGGUCCCAAGGGUAUGGCUGUUCGCCAUUUAAAGUGGUACGCGAGCUGGGUUUAGAACGUCGUGAGACAGUUCGGUCCCUAUCUGCCGUGGGCGCUGGAAGAUUGAGGGGGGCUGCUCCUAGUACGAGAGGACCGGAGUGGACGCAUCACUGGUGUUCGGGUUGUCAUGCCAAUGGCACUGCCCGGUAGCUAAAUGCGGAAAAGAUAAGUGCUGAAAGCAUCUAAGCACGAAACUUGCCCCGAGAUGAGUCUUCCCUGAGACUUUGAGUCUCCUGAAGGAACGUUAAAGACGAUGACGUUGAUAGGCCGGGUGUGUAAGCGCAGCGAUGCGUUGAGCUAACCGGUACUAAUGAACCGUGAGGCUUAACCUUACAACGCCGAAG
This 3025-nucleotide ribosomal RNA is filed under the name Salmonella enterica. RNAcentral describes it as "23S ribosomal RNA". It matches the Rfam family "Bacterial large subunit ribosomal RNA". The record is from RNAcentral. Lineage: Bacteria; Pseudomonadati; Pseudomonadota; Gammaproteobacteria; Enterobacterales; Enterobacteriaceae.